CCUACGGGAGGCAGCAGUGAGGAAUAUUGGUCAAUGGGCGGAAGCCUGAACCAGCCAAGUAGCGUGCGGGAUGAAGGCCCUACGGGUCGUAAACCGCUUUUGCACGGGGAUAACACCCUCCACUUGCGGAGGUCUGCAGGUACCGUGCGAAUAAGGGCCGGCUAAUUCCGUGCCAGCAGCCGCGGUAAUACGGAGGGCCUGAGCGUUAUCCGGAUUCAGUGGGCGAAAGGGGAGCGUAGGUGGGCGUUCAAGUCAGCUGUAAAAUCGCGCGGCUCAACCGCGCCCCGCAGUUGAAACUGGUCGCCUUGAGUUCACAAGAGGCAGGCGGAAUUCGUGGUGUAGCGGUGAAAUGCAUAGAUAUCACGAGGAACCCCGAUUGCGAAGGCAGCCUGCCGGGGUGCGACUGACGCUGAGGCUCGAAGGUGCGGGUAUCAAACAGGAUUAGAUACCCUGGUAGUC
This 459-nucleotide ribosomal RNA is filed under the name uncultured bacterium. RNAcentral describes it as "partial 16S ribosomal RNA". It matches the Rfam family "Bacterial small subunit ribosomal RNA", at positions 338 to 795 of the family's 1533-position model. The record is from RNAcentral.